Long non-coding RNA from Vigna angularis (adzuki bean), 398 nucleotides. RefSeq lists it as uncharacterized. The transcript has 3 exons. The record is from RefSeq and is a predicted model, not a curated record. NCBI's taxonomy places the organism in Eukaryota, Viridiplantae, Streptophyta, Magnoliopsida, Fabales, Fabaceae.
GUGGUGAUUAUGUGUUUCCGGAGUCGAGAGCUUCGACUUGAACCGAUCGGUUACACGUUCUAUAGCCGGUCCUGUUUGGUUCUCCGCUCUGUGGGGUCCUGUUUAAAGUAUUCUAGCAAGUUGUACUGCUCAACUUCCAGAUGGCGGGGAGAUACUUUGGGAGCAGCUCUUGAUGGAGACGACAGUGUUGCAGCUUAGAUUUGCUAGUUUUAUUUAUCGAUUUCAUAUUAUUUGGGAGAACUUUUGAGUGUUUAAAGUUUUAAAUUCUUCGAAAUUUCCAGAGAGAAAUUCUAAUACUCUAGUCGGAAAUUUCGCACUACUCUAAGGAUGACUGUAAUCCUUAAUUAACUCUUGACUGCUUUCCUAUAUUAUGCAUGAUGACGUCUUUUAAUGACGUA